GAAUAAUUUAUUCAAAAUAAAUUGUCUACUUUUGAGAAACAUAACGUUUUAUGAGCAACCCUGUCUUCAGCUUCAGCCUGACUUUGAAAUGCUUAAUUUGAUGCAGUGCAUAGAUUUUUUUUCCCGACCAAUGGAAGAUUUUCCAUUAGUCACAAAAAAGGCAGCAUUUAAAUCAACGAUUUCGAGAUUGGAUGCUUUUCAGAGAGCAGAGAGCAAAUGUAAGCAAGAACAUACCGAUGAACAACCCUCCAUUCUAGCGCCGGGGUGCCAAGCUGCUGCAGGCCAGCUGGUAUGACAAGACCCCGACGGAGCUCCACUCCCCUCAGCAUCCACGGGCCUCACUUCAACCAGGUCCCGUACCUGCUAAUUUGCAUCAGUAAACAGGGCAGCCGACAACUUCAAAGUGUCAACACCAAUGAGGCCUGAAAAGGGAAUGGAGCUGUGUUUAACCAUGUGUGCAGGUAAAAGCAUCUAUCAGCAAGUGUGUUUAGCAAUUAAUAGUAGUGGAGGUUCAAUUGGAAACUUAUGUGAAUUUGUAGUUGGCCGUUUUGGACUCCCGUGAUGACCUGCAUGCUAUUUUAGUGGAUUUAUAACAUUCCCAAUAGUUCAUUCCUCAAAUGUGCAAAGUAUUUUCCACACAUUUUUGUUUACAGGGAAAUACUGGAAUGAAUAGCAUCCACAUUGGCUUUCAAAACACACAAAAAAAGCUGUGUGUUUAUCUGUAUACAAAAAAAUCCAUCAAUGUGAAUGUGUGUAUACAUGUUUCUUUGCAUAGGCCACCACCCACAGAGACGUGUCAGGUAAAUAUUUGGAAGACGGAGGGGUCCAGUGUCCAGAGAGGACAGAUGUAGCUGAAGCUAUCCAUCCACUCCACGCAGCCAUCCGAUACGGUCGGAGACACCUGAUCCUGCAUUAGGCCGCCUCUGAAGCUACGCAGAAUCACGCCUCACCCUAAACAUCAACUUGAACCGAACGGCCUCCAACCAGAUAACUGUGCGCGUGUGUGUGUGUGUGUGUGUGUGUGUGUGUGUGUGUAUGUGUGUGUGUGUGUGUGUGUGUGUGUGUGUGUGUGUGUGUGUGUGUGUGUGUGUGUGUGAGCAAGGGUCUUCAAUUGCAUGUGGGCAUUAAUGUUUGUACGUGUGCGUCAGGUUGGUUAAAAAUCACAGAAACUUGAAAUGGAAAGUGGAAAACCACAAGUUGAGUAAUUGUUUUCGGCCGUAUAGUAAUUCCUGUAUGCUGCCGUGUGUGUGUGUCUGCGUGUGUGUCUUGGGGACGUUGUUGUCAUAAGUCACAUGACGAGUCACAGGCGAUGACAGACUCUUUUCUAGGUGUGUUUUCAACAACAACAGCGCAGACUAAGGGUUAAACCUGGGGGAGGAAAUGCAACAAGAAUCCGGGUGUGUCAGAUCCAAUUAAGUGGAAGCUACAUUUGACUUGGCACGUAUUGAUGUAUUAAUGUCGGUGCCUCAUCACGGUAUUAAAAGUCCCACCUCCUGC
Non-coding RNA from Gasterosteus aculeatus aculeatus (three-spined stickleback), 1497 nucleotides. Lineage: Eukaryota; Metazoa; Chordata; Actinopteri; Perciformes; Gasterosteidae. The record is from RefSeq and is a predicted model, not a curated record.